CCUGAGAAACCCAAAAGAUCGAAUGGGGAGAUUCAUCGUCAGCGAUGCUGGUACCUGUGCGGUUCGUGAUGCCCGUGACUUCGGUAACGCGGCACGCGUCCGCAUGUUUUUCAUUGCCUGGCAUCGUCAACGUGCACUUCUCCCCUAGUAGGACGUCGCGACCCGUUGGGUGUCGGUCUACGGCCCGGGUGGGUGUCUGUCUCGUGUGCGCCUCGCGGCGUUACCGCGGAACAAACCCCCGGCUGYCCCGACCGGCUGCCCGGCGGUACUCGCACGGUAUCCGGCCGCAAAUAUUCGAACUGCGUCCGGCCCGUCGCAAGCGAGGAAAGUGUAUCCCGAAUGYACGGAUCUAAAGCCGUCAYCGGGCCUUGCCAGCUGUUGGUCGACGGUGUCCUGGGACUGGCCGUAAAAAUUAUGAUACCGGUCGGCGACGCUACUGCUUUGGGUACUUUCAGGACCCGUCUUGAAACACGGA
RNAcentral lists this ribosomal RNA (475 nucleotides) under Megastylus sp. BF001019. RNAcentral describes it as "eukaryotic LSU rRNA". Lineage: Eukaryota; Metazoa; Arthropoda; Insecta; Hymenoptera; Ichneumonidae. The record is from RNAcentral.